This 72-nucleotide transfer RNA is filed under the name Loxodonta africana (African savanna elephant). It matches the Rfam family "tRNA". Rfam says of the family: Transfer RNA (tRNA) molecules are approximately 80 nucleotides in length. Their secondary structure includes four short double-helical elements and three loops (D, anti-codon, and T loops). Lineage: Eukaryota; Metazoa; Chordata; Mammalia; Proboscidea; Elephantidae. The record is from Rfam by way of RNAcentral.
GCCCUGGUGGCUCAAAGGUUAAGCGCUCAGCUACUAACUGAAAGGUUGGUGAUUCAGACUCACCUAGUGGCU